AUUGAACGCUGGCGGCAGGCCUAACACAUGCAAGUCGAGCGGUAGAGAGAAGCUUGCUUCUCUUGAGAGCGGCGGACGGGUGAGUAAUGCCUAGGAAUCUGCCUGGUAGUGGGGGAUAACGUUCGGAAACGGACGCUAAUACCGCAUACGUCCUACGGGAGAAAGCAGGGGACCUUCGGGCCUUGCGCUAUCAGAUGAGCCUAGGUCGGAUUAGCUAGUUGGUGGGGUAAUGGCUCACCAAGGCGACGAUCCGUAACUGGUCUGAGAGGAUGAUCAGUCACACUGGAACUGAGACACGGUCCAGACUCCUACGGGAGGCAGCAGUGGGGAAUAUUGGACAAUGGGCGAAAGCCUGAUCCAGCCAUGCCGCGUGUGUGAAGAAGGUCUUCGGAUUGUAAAGCACUUUAAGUUGGGAGGAAGGGCAGUUGCCUAAUACGUAACUGUUUUGACGUUACCGACAGAAUAAGCACCGGCUAACUCUGUG
This 484-nucleotide ribosomal RNA is filed under the name uncultured bacterium. RNAcentral describes it as "partial 16S ribosomal RNA". It matches the Rfam family "Bacterial small subunit ribosomal RNA", at positions 30 to 507 of the family's 1533-position model. The record is from RNAcentral.